Long non-coding RNA from Ruditapes philippinarum (Manila clam), 1488 nucleotides. RefSeq lists it as uncharacterized. Lineage: Eukaryota; Metazoa; Mollusca; Bivalvia; Venerida; Veneridae. The record is from RefSeq and is a predicted model, not a curated record. The transcript is spliced from 2 exons.
UUAUAUGACCAUAGUAUUAGUUAGUUCCACGAAUCAGACUAGCGAGGUUUUCAAACCAAUCUCAAACUUCCCAUACAAUCUAGCUUAAAUAAAUGAAUCAAGUACACAUAUAAAUAUUUAUUAUGUAGCAGCAACAGCUUGACAACAUUGUUCUAGUGCACUACGAUGUUCUUUCUAUACAAAGUUGUUAUAACAUUGACAUAUACAGAUGCUGAUUAUAUAUAAACACACAAAUGGAAACCCGUGAAUUAAGAAACUGAAAGUAUCUAAUCUUAUAUAAAGAGGCUCUAUAGAAGGGGUGGAGAAUGCAUGAUCACGAUAGGUAUUUACAGGCGAAACUAAGUUUUUAUAAUGAACGCUUGUACUUAGAGACCCGCAAUGCUUCCCUCAUUGCAAUAAAUAAAUAUGAGCAAGUUAUUAUGCAUUGACGGUUUCCUUUGAAAGUUUUCAGGCAUAGUAAUAUACAUGUAUAAUAAUUAUUUCAUAGUUCUAUUAAUAACACCCUAUAUCCGGGCAUAUAAAAGAAAGUAUUCAACAUUAUUUCUAAAAUCUCUCAAUUUCAACUUGAGAAUAAACAACUUCAACUCAAACACAUUCCACAAUUUGUGAGAUAGAAUCUUUUCUGUAAAAAUGGGACAAACAGAAAGUUUCUCAAAAGGAAGUUCUGUUUCAAGCAGUAGUUACACAGUUAAGGACCCCGAAGGGACUCACACUGCCACGUGUAUUACCGGAAGUAGUGGCUGGAUGAACAGUUCUUAUGAAGAACAUUGCCCUGGCUGCCGAGGUCAAAGGGCAAAUUCAGCAUGGGGCGAAAGUUCUUCUGGAAAUAUGGGGAGUGAUAUCAUUGGCAUUCUCAGCAUUGGCAAGAAGUAAACUGAGACUGUAAACCGGAAGCGGAAAUUACUUUAUCACAUGACUUUCAUUUAUGUGUGACGAAUAGUUUGGACAUUCUACACUGUAAAUCUCUAAAUUAUCGUAAAAGCGAUGAAAUAGUAGGGGAUACCAAAACGCUGGUAAACAGAUACGCAUAUGAAAUAUUGAAAUAUAAAGAAAAUUCGAUAUGAAUGACUUUAAUUUAUACAAUAAAUGGUGACAUUUGUGUUAAAUAUAUACGGAAUUCUGCAAACAAGUUGCAAAUUGUUAUUUUUAAUGUUUAAGCUUUACAAUAUUUUAAAGCUAAUAGAAAUCGUUGGUAAGGAAAUAACUUGUAUCAUUAGGAAUUUUGACGGUAAAGAUAUUAACAUUACUACUGUUCAGUUUUCUACCUAGUAAAGGGAACGCAUCACGGCCAUUACUGAUAUAUUGUAUAUAUGCUUCUUUUGCUCAACUUCAUGUUCUUUUUGUCAAGUUUUAUAAUCCAACAAAAACAACACACUCUAUAUUUGUCACUGUAUGUUUUUUACUGUUUGUAAACUUUUAGAGGUUAUGGUAUUCGAUGUGACUGACAAAGUUAUAUUGUUGCAAAAAAUAAAUUACUCAAAUAUACAA